UUCUUGCCGAUGAAGGAUACUGAGGUGGCGGCACGGCGUUCGACUGAGGAGCACCUGGGGCUCCCGGUGGUAAAGACACGGAGGUCAGGGUAGCCCGCAGUUGGCUCGACGGAGACGGGACAGUUCCAGGUCCACUUACUGCGACAGUGGCGGGUUUUGGGACUAUUUUCGUCGGCAAACUCAUUGCAAAAAAACAAAACAAUACACUAAUAAAUACUGAUACAAAAUAUAUCUAGCUUGCAUAAAUAUAGCUAGCAAGCGUUUAAUAUUAUUGAAGCAGGCCGCAAAUCCUUUUCCCGACAGGGCUAGCUAUUAGCAACGCAGAAAAGCUUUUUUUCAUGGAAAGUCGCUGUUCGGGUCUAUGGUGUUAUUCAUGGGGACGGUGGGAGGUUUGCCUCCCUUGCCCGUCCAGGACCUCUACAGAUCCGGUUCAGUUCUUCCGAGCACUGUCACCGGUGUCUUUCCUCCUUCGAUAAUUUAACAUUUGUUAUCAACAACUGAUUUUUCUAUAGCUAGCUGAUCAUUUUUCCACGGAGAUGAGAGACUUCGUUAACAUGGCGUUGUGGCCGCUUCCAGUCCGGCAGGACAGACGAUUCGACAAUUCUCGUCCAAUUACGGAAGCGCUGCUCAGCAUCCUGGAACUUCUGGUCCAGGAUGGACACCAUCUUCCUCAGCACCUUCAUGAUCAUGUAGUUGUUCAGGACGCUGCACAGAGGACCUGAGCCCUAGGACUAUGCCCCAGGACUACCUGACAUGAUGACUCUGUGCUGUCC
Molecule: long non-coding RNA, 773 nt
Organism: Oncorhynchus gorbuscha (pink salmon)
Lineage: Eukaryota; Metazoa; Chordata; Actinopteri; Salmoniformes; Salmonidae
Exons: 3
Source: RefSeq, a predicted model, not a curated record